UACGAAGGGGGCUAGCGUUGCUCGGAAUUACUGGGCGUAAAGCGCACGUAGGCGGCUUUCUAAGUCGGGGGUGAAAUCCUGGAGCUCAACUCCAGAACUGCCUUCGAUACUGGAGAGCUCGAGUCCGGGAGAGGUGAGUGGAACUGCGAGUGUAGAGGUGAAAUUCGUAGAUAUUCGCAAGAACACCAGUGGCGAAGGCGGCUCACUGGCCCGGUACUGACGCUGAGGUGCGAAAGCGUGGGGAGCAAACAGG
This 253-nucleotide ribosomal RNA is filed under the name Rhodoplanes sp. RNAcentral describes it as "partial 16S ribosomal RNA". It matches the Rfam family "Bacterial small subunit ribosomal RNA", at positions 524 to 776 of the family's 1533-position model. RNAcentral also lists the same sequence under 1 other name. Lineage: Bacteria; Pseudomonadati; Pseudomonadota; Alphaproteobacteria; Hyphomicrobiales; Nitrobacteraceae. The record is from RNAcentral.